RNAcentral lists this ribosomal RNA (497 nucleotides) under uncultured bacterium. Its description in RNAcentral is "partial 16S ribosomal RNA". It matches the Rfam family "Bacterial small subunit ribosomal RNA", at positions 28 to 507 of the family's 1533-position model. The record is from RNAcentral.
GAUGAACGCUGGCGGCGUGCCUAAUACAUGCAAGUCGAGCGAACGGACGAGAAGCUUGCUUCUCUGAUGUUAGCGGCGGACGGGUGAGUAACACGUGGAUAACCUACCUAUAAGACUGGGAUAACUUCGGGAAACCGGAGCUAAUACCGGAUAAUAUUUUGAACCGCAUGGUUCAAAAGUGAAAGACGGUCCUGCUGUCACUUAUAGAUGGAUCCGCGCUGCAUUAGCUAGUUGGUAAGGUAACGGCUUACCAAGGCAACGAUGCAUAGCCGACCUGAGAGGGUGAUCGGCCACACUGGAACUGAGACGCGGUCCAGACUCCUACGGGAGGCAGCAGUAGGGAAUCGUACGCAAUGGGCGAAAGCCUGACGGAGCAACGCCGCGUGAGUGAUGAAGGUCUUCGGAUCGUAAAACUCUGUUAUUAGGGAAGAACAUAUGUGUAAGUAACUGUGGACAUCUUGACGGUACCUAAUCAGAAAGCAACGGCUAACUACGUG